UACGGAGGAUGCGAGCGUUAUCCGGAUUUAUUGGGUUUAAAGGGUGCGUAGGCGGGAUGCCAAGUCAGCGGUAAAAAUGCGGUGCUCAACGCCGUCGAGCCGUUGAAACUGGCGUUCUUGAGUGGGCGAGAAGUAUGCGGAAUGCGUGGUGUAGCGGUGAAAUGCAUAGAUAUCACGCAGAACUCCGAUUGCGAAGGCAGCAUACCGGCGCCCGACUGACGCUGAGGCACGAAAGCGUGGGUAUCGAACAGG
RNAcentral lists this ribosomal RNA (252 nucleotides) under uncultured bacterium. RNAcentral describes it as "partial 16S ribosomal RNA". It matches the Rfam family "Bacterial small subunit ribosomal RNA", at positions 524 to 776 of the family's 1533-position model. The record is from RNAcentral.